Molecule: non-coding RNA, 27 nt
Filed under: Rattus norvegicus (Norway rat)
Lineage: Eukaryota; Metazoa; Chordata; Mammalia; Rodentia; Muridae
Source: RNAcentral
UGUGAUGAUACUCAGCUACCCCUUAGU